GACAGAGGGUGCGAACGUUGUUCGGAAUUACUGGGCGUAAAGCGCGUGUAGGCGGCAGCGCAAGUCGGGCGUGAAAUCCCACGGCUCAACCGUGGAAGUGCACUCGAAACUGCGCAGCUAGAGUCCUGGAGAGGAAGGUGGAAUGCUUGGUGUAGAGGUGAAAUUCGUAGAUAUCAAGCGGAACACCGGUGGCGAAGGCGGCCUUCUGGACAGUGACUGACGCUGAGAUGCGAAAGCGUGGGGAGCAAACAGG
This 253-nucleotide ribosomal RNA is filed under the name uncultured bacterium. RNAcentral's name for it is "partial 16S ribosomal RNA". It matches the Rfam family "Bacterial small subunit ribosomal RNA", at positions 524 to 776 of the family's 1533-position model. The record is from RNAcentral.